GCCGGUGACAAACCGGAGGAAGGUGGGGAUGACGUCAAGUCAUCAUGGCCCUUAUGGCCAGGGCUACACACGUGCUACAAUGGGCGGUACAAAGGGUUGCCAACCCGCGAGGGGGAGCCAAUCCCAAAAAGCCGUUCGUAGUCCGGAUCGGAGUCUGCAACUCGACUCCGUGAAGUCGGAAUCGCUAGUAAUCGCAGAUCAGCAUUGCUGCGGUGAAUACGUUCCCGGGUCUUGUACACACCGCCCGUCACACCAUGGAAGUUGGUUGCACCAGAAGUAGGUAGCCUAACCGCAAGGAGGGCGCUUACCACGGUGUGGCCAAUGACUGGGGUGAAGUCGUAACAAGGUAA
Molecule: ribosomal RNA, 350 nt
Filed under: uncultured Acidobacteriota bacterium
Lineage: Bacteria; Pseudomonadati; Acidobacteriota
Description: bacterial SSU rRNA
Rfam family: Bacterial small subunit ribosomal RNA
Source: RNAcentral